RNAcentral lists this ribosomal RNA (117 nucleotides) under Octodon degus (degu). The record is from RNAcentral. Lineage: Eukaryota; Metazoa; Chordata; Mammalia; Rodentia; Octodontidae.
GUCUGUGGCCGUACCACCUUGAAUGUGCAUGAUCUUCUCUGACCUCAGAAGGUAAGAUGGGUCAGGCCUGUUUAAUGCUUGGAUGACAAAUGACCUGGGAUAUAGGUGAAAUAGAAA